Molecule: long non-coding RNA, 400 nt
Filed under: Amborella trichopoda
Lineage: Eukaryota; Viridiplantae; Streptophyta; Magnoliopsida; Amborellales; Amborellaceae
Description: long non-coding RNA (ATRI_LNC003844)
Source: RNAcentral
UUUGAACAAAACUGAUCUUGGUAUGAUUGUAGUAGAGGGUUGUUCUUUAGUAACAAGUCUUUCUAUUCGUUCUGCUUGUUUUCCUAAAGAUUGCAUAUAAAGAUUGGUAUAAUUAUUUUGCUCAAUUAUAUGUGGAAUCAAUUCUUGUUUCUUACCAAUUUCUUUAGGUAAGAUUUUAUAUGGAGUAGCAAUUAUAUCAUAUAAAGAUGGUGAUUUUGUGGGUUCGUCUUUUAUUGGCAUAAUUGUCUUAAGUAUUAAGCUUUUCUCAGGAGGAUGGAUACUAGCAGUUGUAGUACCAUCUGUACUAAUAUAAGUUUUUUCUUCUAUUGUUUGAAUUUCUUCAUCAAAAGAAGAAGGGAUAUGAAGCUGGUGUUGAUAAUUAUUUCUUAACCAUGAAAAA